This 468-nucleotide ribosomal RNA is filed under the name uncultured bacterium. RNAcentral's name for it is "partial 16S ribosomal RNA". It matches the Rfam family "Bacterial small subunit ribosomal RNA", at positions 28 to 507 of the family's 1533-position model. The record is from RNAcentral.
GACGAACGCUGGCGGCGUGCUUAACACAUGCAAGUCGAACGGAAAGGCCCUGCUUUUGUGGGGCGCUCGAGUGGCGAACGGGUGAGUAACACGUGAGUAACCUGCCCUUGACUUUGGGAUAACUUCAGGAAACUGGGGCUAAUACCGGAUAGGAGCUCCUGCUGCAUGGUGGGGGUUGGAAAGUUUCGGCGGUUGGGGAUGGACUCGCGGCUUAUCAGCUUGUUGGUGGGGUAGUGGCUUACCAAGGCUUUGACGGGUAGCCGGCCUGAGAGGGUGACCGGCCACAUUGGGACUGAGAUACGGCCCAGACUCCUACGGGAGGCAGCAGUGGGGAAUAUUGUACAAUGGGCGGAAGCCUGAUGCAGCAACGCCGCGUGCGGGAUGACGGCCUUCGGGUUGUAAACCGCUUUCGCCUGUGACGAAGCGUGAGUGACGGUAAUGGGUAAAGAAGCACCGGCUAACUACGUG